CGAAGGGGGCUAGCGUUGCUCGGAAUCGACUGGGCGUAAAGCGCACGUAGGCGGCUUUCUAAGUCAGGGGUGAAAUCCUGGAGCUCAACUCCAGAACUGCCUUUGAUACUGGAGAGCUUGAGUCCGGGAGAGGGUGAGUGGAACUCCGAGUGUAGAGGUGAAAUUCGUAGAUAUUCGGAAGAACACCAGUGGCGAAGGCGGCUCACUGGCCCGGUACUGACGCUGAUGUGCGAAAGCGUGGGGAGCAAACAGGAUUAGAUACCCUGGUAGUCCACGCCGUAAACGAUGGAUGCUAGUCGUUGGCGGGUUUACCCGUCAGUGGCGCAGCUAACGCAUUAAGCAUCCCGCCUGGGGAGUACGGUCGCAAGAUUA
This 372-nucleotide ribosomal RNA is filed under the name uncultured organism. RNAcentral's name for it is "bacterial SSU rRNA". It matches the Rfam family "Bacterial small subunit ribosomal RNA", at positions 526 to 896 of the family's 1533-position model. The record is from RNAcentral.